AAGUGUUUACAGUUGUUUUAGAAUUUGUCUAGCAGGUUUUCCAGUCCUCGCCAGAAGACCCUC
Molecule: small nuclear RNA, 63 nt
Filed under: Microcebus murinus (gray mouse lemur)
Lineage: Eukaryota; Metazoa; Chordata; Mammalia; Primates; Cheirogaleidae
Description: U7 small nuclear RNA (ENSMICG00000031886.2)
Rfam family: U7 small nuclear RNA
About the family: Animal histone pre-mRNAs are spliced by a different mechanism than nuclear pre-mRNAs and self-splicing introns. This processing involves the U7 snRNP, which contains only one RNA species: U7.
Source: Rfam by way of RNAcentral